This 468-nucleotide ribosomal RNA is filed under the name uncultured bacterium. RNAcentral describes it as "partial 16S ribosomal RNA". It matches the Rfam family "Bacterial small subunit ribosomal RNA", at positions 28 to 507 of the family's 1533-position model. The record is from RNAcentral.
GACGAACGCUGGCGGCGUGCUUAACACAUGCCAGUCGAACGGAGAGGCCCUGCUUUUGUGGGGUGCUCGAGUGGCGAACGGGUGAGUAACACGUGAGUAACCUGCCCUUGACUUUGGGAUAACUUCAGGAAACUGGGGCUAAUACCGGAUAGGAGCUCCUGCUGCAUGGUGGGGGUUGGAAAGUUUCGGCGGUUGGGGAUGGACUCGCGGCUUAUCAGCUUGUUGGUGGGGUAGUGGCUUACCAAGGCUUUGACGGGUAGCCGGCCUGAGAGGGUGACCGGCCACAUUGGGACUGAGAUACGGCCCAGACUCCUACGGGAGGCAGCAGUGGGGAAUAUUGCACAAUGGGCGGAAGCCUGAUGCAGCAACGCCGCGUGCGGGAUGACGGCCUUCGGGUUGUAAACCGCUUUCGCCUGUGACGAAGCGUGAGUGACGGUAAUGGGUAAAGAAGCACCGGCUAACUACGUG